RNAcentral lists this long non-coding RNA (2409 nucleotides) under Anolis carolinensis (green anole). RNAcentral describes it as "lncRNA (ENSACAG00000039163.1)". The record is from RNAcentral. Lineage: Eukaryota; Metazoa; Chordata; Lepidosauria; Squamata; Anolidae.
AUGCUUCUCCUGCAACGUCAGCAAGUACAUCGGUUGCACCGUGGUUGUAAAUUGCACAACAACGGAAGCGUAUUGCAUGAUGCGCACAGCUACAACCACGGACGGUUUCAUCAUCGAGCAAGGAUGCGUGGAGGUCUGCCCCGUUGCCGUAACCACUUGGCCAGUGCUCUACACUUACAUUUGCUGUCAGGAAAACUACUGCAACAGUGCUGCCAGCACAAGAAAGUCCAUCUCUCUCUUCACCAUAGUCAUUUUCACCAAAGCAUAUGCUGUCCUGGAGCUCUAGCCAAAGAGGAACAAAGAGCUCAAGCUUCUACCAAAGCAGUAAACGAUGAGGUUUUCUCUGUGCCGGCUUUCUCUUCCUCUGUGGUCCCCAGGACAAGCUUGUCUCCUACCAUUUUUCAUUUCUGGGUUGUCUAAUGAUUUUUCCUCCAUGGUUGGAAUGUAUUAUAGAUGGGCACCCAAGAUGAAUGGCCACUGACUUUGCCUUCAUUUUAUGACUGUUUGUAGCCAUGGCUGUCUCAAGUGGCUUGCAUGGGUUAAGCCAAUGGAUUCUGCAAUGGGAAAUUGUUCACCAACGAACCAUAGUUUAUAGAGCAUCUAGGGCAGAGACCCCAUGGUACCAAAGAAGGCAACAAUUGAAUGGAAACUCUACAGAGUGGGUUGUCCUUGGGUUGACCGAAGCCACCAAUAUGUCCCCAAUUGUCGGUCAGCUACAUUUGUAGUCUCUGCAGUGUUCUCUCCCACUUCUGCUCCAAAUAUAUGAAAUGCCUUCUGCUUUGGGUCUGAUCUUCCCAGAAGGCCUACUUUAGGAAGAAUGACUUCUCAAGGCAAUCCUUUGACCUGGGUGUGUGCAGAUCUGAAGAACAAAUGACGAGGGUCAUUUAAACAGAUAGCCAACCAAGACCUUUGCAAAUAAAUAUUCAUUAUUUUUUAUUAAACAAGGUAAUAAUAUGAAUGAAAAUGUGUAAUCAAUAUGUAUAUAUGCUAUAAUAAAUCUACCAAAAAGACGGUUCAGUUCGCUAUUGAUUGACUUAUUGUCCCUCCUUUCUCCAAUAUGGAACCUACUUCAGCUCAAGAUCAGGGUUAAAAGAAAAUGCAAAUCAAGCAAUGACUAAUGCAAAUGUUUUAAAAGACCAGUUGAUCCUAUCAAAAGCAUUCAACAUCUAUACUUCAGGUUUCAUCACUAUCUCACUGUAAUAGUGAAGCAUGGAGGAGUAACUGAUAAAGGAGUUUAUAGGCUUGUGCAUUUUGGAUAAAUCCUGAUCCGUUUCUGCUGGCCACAUACCAAUAGAUCUCCAUAUCCUUUUCCCCAUGCCUCCCAAAAAUGUGUGGGUAGUCGGGUAGCUGUUUUCGGUCUGUAGCCGAUAAAUACGACUAGAUCCACCCAUUAGCAACAAUGGGUGACUUGUGAGGUGUCGCACCUCAGGAUAGCUUCACCUUGCUAAAUACACCAGGCUGUACAACAGGUUGAAGUCUUUUGUAGUUUAUUAGGAAAUAGGAAAUAAAUAGUUCUUUAAAAGCAAAAGUAAGUUCCAAAAGAUAGUUGCAAAACAAGGCUUUAAAGGAUAAUCCAAGAAACAUAAAGCAUAAAACAAGGCUCCAUUGAUGCAUGGCAAAGUCCCAUGAACAUGAACACAUCAGGCUGCAAGAUAAUCCAGGAAAGCAAGAGCUUGCUUCAUGACUUGAGCGAGAAGUUGCUUUGACAAAGAUUUCUCUCUCAGCACACUAUUUUAAUACCCUUUGCAUAGCAUAAAAGCAUUUCUUUGGCCUCUGACCUCCCUCUUGUUUGCUAUUCUAGCACUCCUGAGAAUCCUGAAUUCCAAACAGCCAGCUCAAUCUAAAGAUUCCAUUUUAUCAAGGCCGGCCAGCUCGUUAGUGUUAUCAUCUGUCUGCAUGCUAUCAGUCUGAGAGCUGUCCUCCCUUCCUGGGGCAAUUUGCACCUGGCUACCUUCAGUAUCAUCAACACCAUUCCCUGCCAAGGGAAGGCCUCCCUGUUCCUCAUCUUCCACAGCAGGAACACUCUGAACCUGAAUCCCAUAAUUCCCAUCACAGUCAUUUUGAAACUGAAUGCCAUCAUCUUGAACCUGAAUCCCAUAAUCCCCAUCAGAGUCACUCUGAGGCUCCAGCUGCGUCACAACACGAGGUUCCCCUUUCUAUUCCUGGAACUCUUUCCUUUUUCCCUUCAAGGGAGACUGGGUUUCAGCAACGGGGUUGUUGCACCCCAGGGCAGCAGGAGCACUGAAAACCAGACAGAGACCAAUAAACAUAUAAUAUCUUUAUUAAAACAAUUAUAAAUCCAGGAAUGAAUAGGUGGAAAGAUUGAGCAGAUAAUAGUCCCUUAUGAAAAGGUAUGAAUUAGUCCAAACAAUUGAAGGGAAAUGUCCAGUAUUAUUGUCCAAAGUCCAG